This 491-nucleotide ribosomal RNA is filed under the name uncultured bacterium. Its description in RNAcentral is "partial 16S ribosomal RNA". It matches the Rfam family "Bacterial small subunit ribosomal RNA", at positions 29 to 507 of the family's 1533-position model. The record is from RNAcentral.
AGUGAACGCUGGCGGUAGGCCUAACACAUGCAAGUCGAACGGCAGCACAGUAAGAGUUCCUCUUACGGGCGGCGAGUGGGGGACGGGUGAGGAAGACAAUGGAAUCUACUUUUUCGUGGGGGCCAACGUAGGGAAACCUUCGCUCAUACCGCAUACGACCUACGGGUGAAAGCAGGGGGUCCUCGGACCUUGCGCUAUUGAAAGAGCCGAUGUCGGAUUAGCUAGUUGGCGGGGUAAAGGCCCACCAAGGCGACGAUCCGUAGCUGGUCUGAGAGGAUGAUCAGCCACACUGGAACUGAGACACGGUCCAGACUCCUACGGGAGGCAGCAGUGGGGAAUAUUGGACAAUGGGCGCAAGCCUGAUCCAGCCAUGCCGCGUGGGUGAAGAAGGCCUUCGGGUUGUAAAGCCCUUUUGUUGGGAAGGAAAAGCAGCAGGUUAAUACCCCGCUGUUCUGACGGUACCCAAAGAAUAAGCACCGGCUAACUUCGUG